AAGAAGUGGCUAAAACAUCAAAAGACAAAAAAUAAAAUAGGUUCAGAAAUAACGAAAUGAAAAGAAGGUAUUAUGCAGUAAAGAGAACGCAGAGCUUUCAAGAAGGAACUAAUGGAAGAAAUUCCUCCAUCAAACUCUUUGAUGAUGAAAUAAUCUGCUUAGGAGUAAUGUCUCGUUGUUCGAAGAUCUUCAGGUUUUGUGCCAACCAAAUCUUCCAAAGCGUUACUGCUAUGAGGCUUUUGUGGUGAUAGCCUCCUCUUGCCUUCAUCGUUACUUCUAUCCACCAAUCCCAAACUUCCAAGAAGGUGCCAGGUUCCAUUUGGCAUCUAGGGCAUGUACUUAAAAUUGGAGAUUCUCGUCUGAAUUCGAUGAUUGACCAGGAGAGCUUUAUGAGUUCUUUCAAGAAAAAACCCUCUGCACAUAGUAAGAAAAGAUAAGGGGAGAGAAGAUCUCCUUUUUGGAGACCUCUCGUUGGCUUAAAAAAUCCUAGUGAGUGACCAUCCACAGUAACAGAGUACGACAUCGUAGUAACACACUCCUUAUCUAAUCAAUCCAUUUGUUACAAAAGCCCAAUUUCUUCAUGAUCUCCUAAACAAAAUUCCAUUCAACCCUGUCAUAUGCCUUACUUAUAUCCAAUUUAAAAGUCAUGUCGUAGUCACCAUACCUCUUGUUUUUCAAGAAAUGCAUCAGCUCAUGAGUGACUAGAACAUUGUCACUAAUCAAAAGUCCUUUCAUGAAGGCACUCUGAUUUUUGCUGAUUAUCUUCUGCAACAUUUUUUGCAUUCUAUGCACAAGAAAUUUGGAAAUGGUUUUGUAGAAAACAAAGCUUAAAUUUAUCGGGAAAAUCUGGCUCAUCGAGGCUGUGCCUGGAAUGUUCGCAAUUAAGCAUAUUUGAGUGUGGUUCAAAACCCUUAACAUUUUUCCACCCGAGAAGAAACUUGUAACUACUUGCACCAAUUCCUUCUUAAUAAUAUCCCAAAAGAAAUGGAAGAAUCUGCCUGUGAAGCUAUCUUCACCUGGGGCUGAAUAAGGAUUAAUUGAAAAAAAUGCACGCUUGAUUUCUUUUUCCGAAAUUGGCUGAGACAGAAUUAUAUUAUCUCUGUUCUCCGCCUUUGUCUCCAGACCCUCUAAUAUCACAUUUGGUUCAUCUGGAUUAGAAGUUGCAAACAAUUUUUCAAAAAAAUUUUAAGACAUCCUCCCAAUGAUGUUCGUGUCUGUGAAUUCCUGCCCUACAUCAUCUACCAAUUUUUCAAUUCUAUUUUGGUUAUUAUGCAUCCAAAAUUGAGAAUGAAGAAACUUAGUAUUCUGGUCUCCCCAUUUAUACCAUUUCACUCUUGAUUUCUCUUUCUAAUAUCGUUCCUCUUUCUCAUAUGCUUCUUGUAAAGUUGUUUCAAGGUUUAGGAUUCGACUUCUAUCUGCCUCAUGAGCUUUCAUUUUUUUCUUUCUCCAGCUUCCUUUUAGUAUCUUGAAUCAACUUUUCAGAGUUGUAGGAAUUAGUAGCUUUCCAUUGCACUAACUUGUGACGAAUAGUUCAAAGUUUAUUCGCCAAUAUGAAUAUAGCCGAACAUGUACAAGGAGUUUGCGAUGCCUCUUUAACUAUUCUUCUCACUUGUUUCUCCUCACACCACCUCUUCUGAAAGUGGAACCUGUGCUUUAUCUUCCAUUUGGAAAAUUCCAGAGUUAAAAGAAGAGGUCUAUGAUCAAAGCCAUGAUCAUCUAAAUGAAUAAUUUUUUCAUCUGGGUAUGCUGCCAUCCAAUCCUAAGAUACCAAGCAUCUAUCAAUUCUCUCCCUGAUUAAAUUACUUCCAUAUUGUUUAUUACACUAUGUAAAUUUAGGCUCUUCAAACAUGAAAUCUCUAAGGUUUCCCUCAUCAACAAAAUUUUGAAAUUCUCGUAUAGAACUUGCUGAUUUGGGCCUUCCGCCCUCUUUUUCAUGAUGAGCAAGAAUGGCAUUGAAAUCUCCAAUGAUAAGGUACAUAGAGUUAAAAGAAUUUAAACAUUGUUGUACCUUUUCAAAUUGAGCUUUCCUUUGAUUCUUUUCCUGUGUAAGUGAACUCUAAAAAUGCUCCAUUUCUUGCCACUACUUGGUUCCAGCCAGUCGAAUUGUAUGAAAACGGAUGCAGUUUUCUCAAUAUUAAUCGAAUCUCCUCCUUCCAUGCAAGCACCAAACCACCACCAACUCAUUGUGGCUCUACACAAAAUGAGUUCUUGAAACUCAGCUUCUCACACUGUGCAACAAACAAUGAGUUGUUUUUGGUUUCACAUAAAAAUAACAAAUCAGGAGAAUGAGAUCUCCUUAUCCUUUGGAUAUUGUGAACUGCUAGAAAUUUCUCCAACCCCCAGCAGUUUCACAUCAACAUCUUCAUUUGGGUUGGAGUGCCAAAUUUGGGUUGGCACUAUACCCCGUUUUAGCAACCUCCAUUCCUUGUAUCCCCUCCUAUUUUUUAUCUAGGUCUUCCUCCAAGUCAUUGUUCCUCUUCACUCCUAUCAUCAUAUUCAUCUUCGUUCCUUCCUGCAUUGCCAAAUAUUUUAUUUUGAAUCUUUUAUUUCUUGUUGCUAUGGUUUGGCUUGUACGAUGGAUAGUAAAAGACUUGUCAUGGCUUGCUGUUUGUAUAAUGUCUUCAUUCACAUUCUUCACUACUUGUACAUUCUCCCCUAAUACUCCCAUCAUCUCCCUUCCUUGAUUUAGUCGUUCAGAAUUCUCCCCGGUUCCUUCCUCGUUAUCUUCAAUGACUAUUACUUGGUCCUGUUGCUGUUGUGUUCCUUUUUUCUCCAUUGAUAGAUCACUGAAUUUUCUUAGAAGGCUAACAGGAGUAGGUUUCUUCGUUCUAUUUUCCAGUUUUCAAUUUGGUUUAUUUUUUAUGGGAUCUGAAUUCUCCUUCAACAC
Molecule: non-coding RNA, 2887 nt
Organism: Arachis ipaensis
Lineage: Eukaryota; Viridiplantae; Streptophyta; Magnoliopsida; Fabales; Fabaceae
Source: RefSeq, a predicted model, not a curated record